GUCACUAGUACCGGAAUAAUAUUCGCUUGGGGUUCACCCAGAGUAGGGGGAUCACCCCAGUAUAUGUAUGUCACUAGGACAGGAACCAGAUUCGCUUGGGGGUCACCCAGCGUAAGGGGGGUCACACCUGUACCACAAUGUCACUUUGGAGAGGUGUCUGCCACGCUUGGGGGUCACCCAGCGUAAGGGGGAUCACCCCUGUUAAUCACUCCGUUAUGUGCCUCCACUACUGUGUCCUGGGAGGUGUAUCCCUGUGGGGAAGGAGUGUAUCCAAUGGUUGUGAGGUCCAGUGGGAGUAGGGAGCGGAGUAAGAUAUCAGCUCUAUUUAAUUUCCCUGCCAGUAGAUAGAGUAAUGCAUCCACUAUAUACCCACAGCAGGGGACAGUCCAUUCA
Non-coding RNA from Pelobates cultripes (western spadefoot toad), 393 nucleotides. NCBI's taxonomy places the organism in Eukaryota, Metazoa, Chordata, Amphibia, Anura, Pelobatidae. The record is from the annotation of a GenBank genome assembly.